Oryza brachyantha (malo sina) is the source of this 3150-nucleotide RNA transcript. RefSeq lists it as uncharacterized. Lineage: Eukaryota; Viridiplantae; Streptophyta; Magnoliopsida; Poales; Poaceae. The transcript has 4 exons. The record is from RefSeq and is a predicted model, not a curated record.
UUUUCAAGCUUGGAUUGUUGCUGAUCUUCUCCACUUUUGGGUUUUCAAUCAGCUGAAGGUCAACCAGGGAAGGGAAGUUCUCUACAGAUACCAAGUGUCUUACACUUUCUAGGUAUAAGCUUUUCAGUGCUCUUGCCUGGCACGCUAGCCCAUGAGGUAUAUACUUCAGUUUACAAUUAGAGAUGGAAAACCUCUCUAGAACAGGCAUUGCUCUGACUUGAUCCUUCCAUUCCCAUGUUUCCCAUUUCCACAUCUUUUUGAAACCUAGGGUUUUCAGCUUGGGAAAUGCAACAGUGCUGCCAUGUAAAGGGGGGAGUAGGAGUUCAUGUCCAAUAUGCUCAAUGGCCGGAGCAUUUUCGAUCCAAAGAUGAUCAAGAAAGGGAAGCUCACCCAUGCCACUAGGAAGCUUCACGCAGCAUGCAUAGUUCGUUAGCUCCAAUCGCGUUAAGUUUAUAAAAGUUGACAUCAUUUCCAUCCACUGGGGUAGCUCAAGUCCAAAGUAGCCUCCAAUUGUAAGUAGUUCAGUGGAUUCUGGGGGACAGAGAUUGCCCAAUACCUCCUUGAUUUUCUCUUGCUCCUUCUUGCUGAUAUUGCUUUCAAGCUCCCCAUCGUUUCUGAGCCUGCUGGUACACAUCAAAUAUAGCUCUGUUAGAAGUGGUUUGCUACUAAGAUUUGCUUUUGCAGCCAUCGAACCAGAAGAUGCCUUCUCCAAACUUGUUAUCUCAAGUAUUUUUAGUUUCGACAGUGUUCCAAGUUCUUCCAAGCUGCACCAACCAUUUGUGCCAUCAUCCGAUGAAUAGGUUGGAAACCCUCCCAUCAUGACCAAAUCUUCUAGUCUUCCAAAACCUUGAGGAAUGGAGGUUAUCAUAGUGCGUCUAAGGUUGAGAAACCUUAGUUUCUGUAGCUUCAAGAUGCUCUGCGGAAGUUCACAAAUUUUUGCACAAUCUGCCAAGUCAAUGACCUGUAGAAAUUUUAGAUCUCCAAUGUUGCGGGGGAUUGUAGAUAUGCUUGUACCUGCAACUGCCAAAUAUCUUAAAUGUUUGAGGUGACAUAUAGAUUGUGGCAGUUCAACAAGGUCGACAAUAUUUUGGAGGUUUAAUACUCGUAGAGAAGAAAGACUAUUAAGGAAAUCAUUACUAUCAACCAUGGAGUUCUUGUUUAACAUCAAUGCUCGUAGUGAUACUUGUUUUUUCAAAGCAACCCAAUCUACUUCUUUCUUUGAUACAGAUAACUGUCGUAACUUUAGAGUACGACUUGUAGGUAUUCUUGUGUUUUGUCCCUCGGUAAGUAAGAUGCCUUCUUCCUUCCCUACAGAUUGUGCAAAGCAGCGGACAACAUCAUGCAUGGUGCAUGCUGAUUGAUCAUAGAAUUCCCUCUUCUGUUGUAAAAGGUUUCUUGAUGCCAAUUCAUUGAAAUACUCAAAUCCCAAAUCUUCUAGUAGCAAAGAACUCACUUCUUCUUGUACAAAACCUUCCGCUAUCCACAUCUGGACUAUAUCUCCACGUCUAAUUAAUUCAUCUUUAGGAAAAAGUGAACAGUAUAGAAAGCAUUGCUUCAAAUGGGGAGGUAAUUCUUCAUAGCUCAGGAAAACUGCUCUAUCAAGGCAGUCGGUUGUAUUCAUUGACCAUGCAUUGUGGUUAUAGAUAUGCAACCAAGAAUUUCUUGUGUUGUUUCUCUGUCUCAAUAGCCCUCCGAUCAACUUGAUAGCAAGUGGCAAACCAUCACAUCUGUCUACAAUCUUCAUACCAAUAUCCUCCAGAGCACUAAUCUCAGAUUCAUCUGUUGUAACCCAAAAUGCCUGUUGAAGAAGUACCACAUGAGAUAAGUGUGCUAGAGAUGUAAUGGGGGGAUAAAGACUUUGCAGCUCGGCACUACUACCCAUAAACUUCUAGGGGAGAUGGAGAUACACAAGGAUUAAAUUAGAUCAGUGGCAGCUUGUCAGGGAUGAUGUGGAAGGCCACAUAGACAAGAAGUCAAUGUCCCACAACUACACAUUUUACCUGCUUCUUUAGCAAUGACCAACCAUCAAAUCUAUCAAGCUUGUCAACUGGAUGGAGAUGUUGUGCUUUCAUCCCACGUGCGACUCCCUCCUUUCUUGUGGUCAGCAAGACCUGGCUCCCUGAAGCACCACUACUCAAAGGAGCGUUCACCCUGUUCACCAGUAGAUCGACAAGCUUCCUUGUAUCUUGCUCAAUCUUCUCCCCAACAAUGGAAGUUUGUUCAAUGGAUGGUCCAGUCCUCCGCCAGUCGCCGAGUGAAGAACUGGGACCAGCGUAAACAACAACCGAGGGGGUCAAAUUCAAAAGGGAGGUCCGUUUUGAAAGUAUAUCUAGCCUCUGGUUGAGUACCUUGAUCUUCAUCCCGAUCUUGUGUGAAGCAACAGGGUUGCAGAAGCAGAACUUGGAAACGUUCCAGCAACUUGGAGUGGCUAUUGCAUCGUCUUCUCCGUCAUCCUCGACAACAUGCUGGCAGAGGUCCAGGAUGUCGUCGGCAUCAUACAUGACAUCCUUGAGUUCCCUCACCCACCGCCUGACGGUCAUCUCGCGCCUACUGUCGGCGUCGGCCAGGUAGCAGCGGAUGUCACCCAGCGUCGUCUCAAACUUGGUGAUCUCCCCGGGCACGCGAAGGAGCAUCUCCACCCUGCUUGUGGCCAUGCCCAUGAUAUUGCCUCCCAGUCUGAGCGCAAAUGACACCAACGCGGACGCCAUGGCGGCGAUCACAGAAGGAAGCCUCUCGCAACGAGAUUUUUGAUAAUUGAGUGUUAUGUUGCCAAAAAUCUCUCUAGCAACAGGUGCAGUUAAGAGUUACAGCUAGCUACAGAUGAAGUGAUCGUUUCUUUUCCAAAUUUUUUUGCCUUACAAGUUCAGUUCUCAGAUGAGUUUUAUAGAAGAUCUCUGCCUUCUCUGGUAUACAAGGAGUGUGUACGCACCCUGAUUAAGCUCUGUUCAUGUAGUAACUGACUCGGCUACGCUCAGUGCUGAACGCGGCUGAAGUUUUUUUUUUUUGGGAACACGCCAGAAAGUUGACUUGAGUACUGGACAAAAUGACACAAGAAAUGCCCCCAGUGUCAUGAUCUUCCGCUGGUUUGUUCUACUUAUUUAUUCGGUUAUUCCCUUACUCUACCACAAUACUAUGUUCAUCUUCUCAAAU